This 253-nucleotide ribosomal RNA is filed under the name uncultured bacterium. Its description in RNAcentral is "partial 16S ribosomal RNA". It matches the Rfam family "Bacterial small subunit ribosomal RNA", at positions 524 to 776 of the family's 1533-position model. The record is from RNAcentral.
UACGGAGGGGACUAGCGUUGUUCGGAAUUACUGGGCGUAAAGCGCACGUAGGCGGUUUUGUAAGUCAGGGGUGAAAUCCCGGGGCUCAACCUCGGAACUGCCUUUGAUACUGCAAAUCUCGAGUCCGGAAGAGGUGAGUGGAAUUCCUAGUGUAGAGGUGAAAUGCGCAGAUAUCGGGAAGAACACCCGUGGCGAAGGCGGCUCUCUGGGACGGUACUGACGCUGAGACGCGAAAGCGUGGGGAGCGAACAGG